GAUGAACGCUGGCGGCAGGCUUAACACAUGCAAGUCGAGCGAGCGGCGGACGGGUGAGUAAUGUCUGGGAAACUGCCUGAUGGAGGGGGAUAACUACUGGAAACGGUAGCUAAUACCGCAUACCAUCAGAUGUGCCCAGAUGGGAUUAGCUAGUAGGUGGGGUAAUGGCUCACCUAGGCGACGAUCCCUAGCUGGUCUGAGAGGAUGACCAGCAACACGGGAACGGAGACAAGUUCCAGAAUCCUACGGGAGGCAGAAGUGGGGAAUAUUGCAAAAUGGGCGCAAGCGUGAUGCAGCCAUGCCGCGUGUGUGAAGAGGGCCUUCGGGUUGUAAAGCACUUGCAGCGAGGAGGCGUUACUCGAAGAAGAAGCACCGGCUAACUCCGUGCCAGCAGCCGCGGUAAUUC
RNAcentral lists this ribosomal RNA (406 nucleotides) under uncultured bacterium. Its description in RNAcentral is "partial 16S ribosomal RNA". It matches the Rfam family "Bacterial small subunit ribosomal RNA", at positions 28 to 526 of the family's 1533-position model. The record is from RNAcentral.